This 1261-nucleotide ribosomal RNA is filed under the name Klebsiella quasipneumoniae. RNAcentral's name for it is "partial 23S ribosomal RNA". It matches the Rfam family "Bacterial large subunit ribosomal RNA", at positions 590 to 1838 of the family's 2925-position model. The record is from RNAcentral. Lineage: Bacteria; Pseudomonadati; Pseudomonadota; Gammaproteobacteria; Enterobacterales; Enterobacteriaceae.
GGUGUGACUGCGUACCUUUUGUAUAAUGGGUCAGCGACUUAUAUUCUGUAGCAAGGUUAACCGUAUAGGGGAGCCGCAGGGAAACCGAGUCUUAACUGGGCGUUAAGUUGCAGGGUAUAGACCCGAAACCCGGUGAUCUAGCCAUGGGCAGGUUGAAGGUUGGGUAACACUAACUGGAGGACCGAACCGACUAAUGUUGAAAAAUUAGCGGAUGACUUGUGGCUGGGGGUGAAAGGCCAAUCAAACCGGGAGAUAGCUGGUUCUCCCCGAAAGCUAUUUAGGUAGCGCCUCGUGAACUCAUCUUCGGGGGUAGAGCACUGUUUCGGCUAGGGGGUCAUCCCGACUUACCAACCCGAUGCAAACUACGAAUACCGAAGAAUGUUAUCACGGGAGACACACGGCGGGUGCUAACGUCCGUCGUGAAGAGGGAAACAACCCAGACCGCCAGCUAAGGUCCCAAAGUCAUGGUUAAGUGGGAAACGAUGUGGGAAGGCACAGACAGCCAGGAUGUUGGCUUAGAAGCAGCCAUCAUUUAAAGAAAGCGUAAUAGCUCACUGGUCGAGUCGGCCUGCGCGGAAGAUGUAACGGGGCUAAACCAUGCACCGAAGCUGCGGCAGCGACACUAUGUGUUGUUGGGUAGGGGAGCGUUCUGUAAGCCUGCGAAGGUGACCUGUGAGGGUUGCUGGAGGUAUCAGAAGUGCGAAUGCUGACAUAAGUAACGAUAAAGCGGGUGAAAAGCCCGCUCGCCGGAAGACCAAGGGUUCCUGUCCAACGUUAAUCGGGGCAGGGUGAGUCGACCCCUAAGGCGAGGCCGAAAGGCGUAGUCGAUGGGAAACAGGUUAAUAUUCCUGUACUUGGUGUUACUGCGAAGGGGGGACGGAGAAGGCUAUGUUAGCCGGGCGACGGUUGUCCCGGUUUAAGCAUGUAGGCUGGUUAUCCAGGCAAAUCCGGAUAAUCAAGGCUGAGGUGUGAUGACGAGGCACUACGGUGCUGAAGUAACAAAUGCCCUGCUUCCAGGAAAAGCCUCUAAGCAUCAGGUAACACGAAAUCGUACCCCAAACCGACACAGGUGGUCAGGUAGAGAAUACCAAGGCGCUUGAGAGAACUCGGGUGAAGGAACUAGGCAAAAUGGUGCCGUAACUUCGGGAGAAGGCACGCUGGUGUGUAGGUGAAGCCCCUGCGGGUGGAGCUGAGACCAGUCGAAGAUACCAGCUGGCUGCAACUGUUUAUUAAAAACACAGCACUGUGCAAACACGAAAGU